ACGCGUUAAGCACUCCGCCUGGGGAGUACGGCCGCAAGGUUAAAACUCAAAGGAAUGACGGGGGCCCGCACAAGCGGUGGAGCAUGUGGUUCAAUUCGACGCAACGCGCAGAGCCUUACCAGCCCUUGACAUGGGACGUUUGAGCCGCGGAGACGCGGUUCUUCAUUUAGUUGGCGUCCACACAGGUGCUGCAUGGCUGUCGUCAGCUCGUGUCGUGAGAUGUUGGGUUAAGUCCCGCAACGAGCGCAACCCUCGCCUUCAGUUGCCAUCACGUAAGGGUGGGCACUCUGAAGGAACUGCCGGUGACAAGCCGGAGGAAGGUGGGGAUGACGUCAAGUCCUCAUGGCCCUUACGGGCUGGGCUACACACGUGCUACAAUGGCGGUGACAGUGGGCGGCAAUCCCGCGAGGGUGAGCCAAUCUCCAAAAGCCGUCUCAGUUCGGAUUGCACUCUGCAACUCGAGUGCAUGAAGUCGGAAUCGCUAGUAAUCGCGGAUCAGCACGCCGCGGUGAAUACGUUCCCGGGCCUUGUACACACCGCCCGUCACACCAUGGGAGUUGGCUUUACCUUAAGACGGUGCGCGAACCGCAAGGACGCAGCCGGCCACGGUAAGGUCAGCGACUGGGGUGAAGUCGUCGUAACAAGGUAACCGUAA
RNAcentral lists this ribosomal RNA (655 nucleotides) under uncultured bacterium. Its description in RNAcentral is "bacterial SSU rRNA". It matches the Rfam family "Bacterial small subunit ribosomal RNA", at positions 855 to 1505 of the family's 1533-position model. The record is from RNAcentral.